UCCGGGGUAGCUCAAUUCGGCAGAGCAGCGGACUGUUAAUCCGUUGGUUGUGGGUUCAAGUCCCACCCCCGGAGCCA
RNAcentral lists this transfer RNA (77 nucleotides) under bacterium. Its description in RNAcentral is "tRNA-Asn". It matches the Rfam family "tRNA". Rfam says of the family: Transfer RNA (tRNA) molecules are approximately 80 nucleotides in length. The record is from RNAcentral. RNAcentral also lists the same sequence under 1 other name.